RNAcentral lists this ribosomal RNA (229 nucleotides) under uncultured bacterium. Its description in RNAcentral is "partial 16S ribosomal RNA". It matches the Rfam family "Bacterial small subunit ribosomal RNA", at positions 568 to 796 of the family's 1533-position model. The record is from RNAcentral.
UGCGCAGGCGGACUAUUAAGUCAGUGGUGAAAUCUCUCGGCUCAACCGAGAAACUGCCAUUGAAACUGAUCGUCUUGAGUAUAGUUGUGGUAGGCGGAAUAUAGCAUGUAGCGGUGAAAUGCUUAGAUAUGCUAUAGAACACCGAUCGCGAAGGCAGCUUACUAAACUAUUACUGACGCUCAUGCACGAAAGCGUGGGGAGCAAACAGGAUUAGAUACCCUGGUAGUCC